AGUGAACGCUGGCGGUAGGCCUAACACAUGCAAGUCGAACGGCAGCACAGUAAGAGCUUGCUCUUACGGGUGGCGAGUGGCGGACGGGUGAGGAAUACAUCGGAAUCUACUUUUUCGGGGGGGAUAACGUAGGGAAACUUACGCUAAUACCGAAUACGACCUACGGGUGAAAGCAGGGGAUCUUCGGACCUUGCGCGAUUGAAUAAGCCGAUGUCGGAUUAGCUAGUUGGCGGGGUAAAGGCCCACCAAGGCGACGAUCCGUAGCUGGUCUGAGAGGAUGAUCAGCCACACUGGAACUGAGACACGGUCCAGACUCCUACGGGAGGCAGCAGUGGGGAAUAUUGGACAAUGGGCGCAAGCCUGAUCCAGCCAUACCGCGUGGGUGAAGAAGGCCUUCGGGUUGUAAAGCCCUUUUGUUGGGAAAGAAAAGCAGCAGGUUAAUACCCCGCUGUUCUGACGGUACCCAAAGAAUAAGCACCGGCUAACUUCGUG
This 492-nucleotide ribosomal RNA is filed under the name uncultured bacterium. RNAcentral's name for it is "partial 16S ribosomal RNA". It matches the Rfam family "Bacterial small subunit ribosomal RNA", at positions 29 to 507 of the family's 1533-position model. The record is from RNAcentral.